AGUAAAAGUCGUAACAAGGUCUCCGUAGGUGAACCUGCGGAGGGAUCAUUACUGAGUGAGGGCCUCCGGGUCCGACCUCCAACCCUUUUGUGAACCAAACUUGUUGCUUCGGGGGAGACCCCGCCGUUUCGGCGGCGGCGGCUCCCCCGGAGGCCAAUUAACACUGCGUAACUGUUAGUCGGAGUCUAAACAAAUAAUCAAAACUUUCAACAACGGAUCUCUCGGUUCUGGCAUCGAUGAAGAACGCAGCGAAAUGCGAUAAGUAAUGUGAAUUGCAGAAUUCAGUGAAUCAUCGAAUCUUUGAACGCACAUUGCGCCCCCUGGUAUUCCGGGGGGCAUGCCUGUCCGAGCGUCAUUACACCCCUCGAGCCUGGCUCGGUAUUGGGCGCCGCGGGUCUGACCCGCGCGCCUUAAAGUCCCUCCGGCUGGACUGCUUGUCCCUGAAGCGUCGUGCAAACCUCGCGGUGGGAUUUGGUGGAUCGGCCGUUAAAUCUUUAAUCAAGGUUGACCUCGGAUCAGGUAGGGAUACCCGCUGAACUUAAGCAUAUCAAUAAGCGGAGGAAAAGAAACCAACAGGGAUUGCCCUAGUAACG
This 593-nucleotide ribosomal RNA is filed under the name uncultured fungus. Its description in RNAcentral is "eukaryotic LSU rRNA". The stretch from base 202 to 355 matches the Rfam family "5.8S ribosomal RNA". The record is from RNAcentral. Lineage: Eukaryota; Fungi.